GUGGGGAAUAUUCCGCAAUGGACGAAAGUCUGACGGAGCAACGCCGCGUGAGUGAUGAAGGUUUUCGGACUGUAAAGCUCUGUUGUUUAGGACGAAAGUGCCUGUUGCAAAUAGUUACAGGUAUUGACGGUACUGAACGAGGAAGCCACGGCUAACUACGUGCCAGCAGCCGCGGUAAUACGUAGGUGGCAAGCGUUGUCCGGAAUUAUUGGGCGUAAAGAGCAUGUAGGCGGGAAUCUAAGUCUGUUGUGAAAAUGCGGGGCUCAACCCCGUAUUGCGAUGGAAACUGGGUUUCUUGAGUGCAGGAGAGGAAAGGGGAAUUCCCAGUGUAGCGGUGAAAUGCGUAGAUAUUGGGAGGAACACCAGUGGCGAAGGCGCCUUUCUGGACUGUGUCUGACGCUGAGAUGCGAAAGCCAGGGUAGCGAACGGGAUUAGAUACCCGGGUAGUCC
This 450-nucleotide ribosomal RNA is filed under the name uncultured bacterium. Its description in RNAcentral is "partial 16S ribosomal RNA". It matches the Rfam family "Bacterial small subunit ribosomal RNA", at positions 354 to 796 of the family's 1533-position model. The record is from RNAcentral.